This 492-nucleotide ribosomal RNA is filed under the name uncultured bacterium. RNAcentral describes it as "partial 16S ribosomal RNA". It matches the Rfam family "Bacterial small subunit ribosomal RNA", at positions 30 to 507 of the family's 1533-position model. The record is from RNAcentral.
AUUGAACGCUGGCGGCAUGCUUUACACAUGCAAGUCGAACGGUAACAGGCCUUCGGGUGCUGACGAGUGGCGAACGGGUGAGUAAUGCAUCGGAACGUGCCCAGAGGUGGGGGAUAACGCAGCGAAAGCUGUGCUAAUACCGCAUGUGAUCUGAGGAUGAAAGCGGGGGACCAGGCAGCAAUGUUUGGCCUCGCGCCUUUGGAGCGGCCGAUGUCAGAUUAGGUAGUUGGUGGGGUAAAGGCCUACCAAGCCGACGAUCUGUAGCUGGUCUGAGAGGACGACCAGCCACACUGGGACUGAGACACGGCCCAGACUCCUACGGGAGGCAGCAGUGGGGAAUUUUGGACAAUGGGCGCAAGCCUGAUCCAGCAAUGCCGCGUGCGGGAAGAAGGCCUUCGGGUUGUAAACCGCCUUUGUACGGAACGAAAAGGCUCUGGCUAAUACCUGGGGCUGAUGACGGUACCGUAAGAAUAAGCACCGGCUAACUACGUG